RNAcentral lists this ribosomal RNA (245 nucleotides) under uncultured bacterium. Its description in RNAcentral is "partial 16S ribosomal RNA". It matches the Rfam family "Bacterial small subunit ribosomal RNA", at positions 527 to 779 of the family's 1533-position model. The record is from RNAcentral.
CGGGAGGGCAAGCGUUAUCCGGCAUAACUGGGCGUAAAGAGUCCGUAGACUGUAAAUAAGUUGCUUGUUAAACUUAAAGCUUAACUUUAAAUGGCUUGCAAUACUGUUUACUUGAGUUUUAUGCAGAAGAGUAGAAUUUUAUACGAAGGGUAAAUCUGAAAAUAUAUAAAGGAAUACCAGUAGCGAAGGCGACUCUUUGGUAAAAACUGACGUUGAGGGACGAAGUAUGGGUAGCAAACAGGAUU